AACGCGAAGAACCUUACCUGGGCUCGAACGGCUAUUGAUCGGUGGUAGAAAUAUCGCCUUUCCCGCAAGGGACUGUAGUCGAGGUGCUGCAUGGCUGUCGUCAGCUCGUGUCGUGAGAUGUUGGGUUAAGUCCCGCAACGAGCGCAACCCUUGUCCUGUGUUGCUAACCCCUUAAAAGGUGCACUCUCAGGAGACCGCCAGCGAUAAGCUGGAGGAAGGUGGGGAUGACGUCAAGUCAUCAUGGCCUUUAUGUCCAGGGCUACACACGUGCUACAAUGGGCGGUACAAAGCGUUGCCAACCCGCGAGGGGGAGCUAAUCGCAAAAAACCGCUCUCAGUUCGGAUUGCAGGCUGCAACUCGCCUGCAUGAAGCUGGAAUCGCUAGUAAUGGCGUAUCAGAACGACGCCGUGAAUACGUUCCCGGGCCUUGUACACACCGGCUAC
RNAcentral lists this ribosomal RNA (443 nucleotides) under uncultured bacterium. RNAcentral describes it as "bacterial SSU rRNA". It matches the Rfam family "Bacterial small subunit ribosomal RNA", at positions 958 to 1397 of the family's 1533-position model. The record is from RNAcentral.